UAUCGUGACCAACCUGCCCCAUGCUCCAGAAUAGCUCUUGGAAACGGGUGGUAAUGCUGGAUGCUCCAACUUGACGCAUGUCUUGUUGGGAAAGUGUUUAGUGGCAUGGGAUGGGGUCGCGUCCUAUCAGCUUGUAGGCGGGGUAAUGGCCCACCUAGGCUUCGACGGGUAGCCGGCCUGAGAGGGCGGACGGCCACAUUGGGACUGAGAUACGGCCCAGACUCCUACGGGAGGCAGCAG
RNAcentral lists this ribosomal RNA (240 nucleotides) under uncultured Gardnerella sp. RNAcentral describes it as "partial 16S ribosomal RNA". It matches the Rfam family "Bacterial small subunit ribosomal RNA", at positions 113 to 354 of the family's 1533-position model. Lineage: Bacteria; Bacillati; Actinomycetota; Actinomycetes; Bifidobacteriales; Bifidobacteriaceae. The record is from RNAcentral.